This 335-nucleotide long non-coding RNA is filed under the name Homo sapiens (human). RNAcentral's name for it is "HSALNT0301638". Lineage: Eukaryota; Metazoa; Chordata; Mammalia; Primates; Hominidae. The record is from RNAcentral.
AAUAAAACUGGCCACCCCAGCCGGCAGUGGCAACCCACUUGGGUGCCGUGAAAGCUUUGUUCUUUCGGUCUUCACAGUAGAUCUUGCUGCUGCUCACUUUUUGGGUCUGUGCCAUCUUUAAGAGUUGUAACACUCACCUCAAAGGUCUGCAGCUCCAUUCUUGAAGUCAAGGAGACCACGAACCCCCCAGAAGGAACCAACUCUGGACACAAAAGGAAAGGAAUAGCAGUUAUGUCUCAGGGUUUUUUGAGGAUCAAACUGGAAAAUGCUGUCAACUAUAGUUAUUAGUAUACAGAAAGAAGCUUCUAGAAGUGCCACUUCCAGAAGUAAGCAGC